AAGAGCACGACAUUGCUCACAUUGCUUCCAGUAUUAUUUCAGCCAGCGGAUUCCGCUGGCUUUUUUUA
RNAcentral lists this non-coding RNA (68 nucleotides) under Enterobacillus tribolii. The record is from RNAcentral. Lineage: Bacteria; Pseudomonadati; Pseudomonadota; Gammaproteobacteria; Enterobacterales; Hafniaceae.